This 620-nucleotide ribosomal RNA is filed under the name uncultured bacterium. RNAcentral describes it as "bacterial SSU rRNA". It matches the Rfam family "Bacterial small subunit ribosomal RNA", at positions 338 to 1414 of the family's 1533-position model. The record is from RNAcentral.
CCUACGGGAGGCAGCAGUGGGGAAUUUUGGACAAUGGGCGAAAGCCUGAUCCAGCCAUGCCGCGUGCGGGAAGAAGGCCUUCGGGUUGUAAACCGCUUUUGUCAGGGAAGAAAUCCUUUGAGUUAAUACCUCGGGGGGAUGACGGUACCUGAAGAAUAAGCACCGGCUAACUACGUGCCAGCAGCCGCGGUAAUACGUAGGGUGCGAGCGUUAAUCGGAAUUACUGGGCGUAAAGCGUGCGCAGGCGGUUAUGCAAGACAGAUGUGAAAUCCCCGGGCUCAACCUGGGAACUGCAUUUGUGACUGCAUAGCUAGAGUACGGUAGAGGGGGAUGGAAUUCCGCGUGUAGCAGUGAAAUGCGUAGAUAUGCGGAGGAACACCGAUGGCGAAGGCAAUCCCCUGGACCUGUACUGACGCUCAUGCACGAAAGCGUGGGGAGCAAACAGGAUUAGAUACCCUGGUAGUCCACGCCCUAAACGAUGUCAACUGGUUGUUGGACGGCUUGCUGUUCAAGUAACGAAGCUAACGCGUGAAGUUGACCGCCGUGGGGAGUACGGCCGCAAGGUUGAACUCAAAGUGAGUAGAGCGNGAGAGNGACGACGACGACGACGAGGGAGGAGG